GGAAAGAACCUACUGCAAUACGGCAAGUGUGAAGGCACAAAUCACAGCUCGUAAAAGAGAGAGAGAGAGAGAGAAAGCGCGCGAGACGAGGCGUGUCGUUUGUGGAGCAUCAACAGUCUGUGAAUGCGCUUGCGGAGAGCAAACAGCAGGAAGACAAAUAUCAGGCCAGUCACCCCAACCUCAGGAAACUGCACACAUCUGAUGAUAUGUUGUUGGGUCUGGGGCUGCAGGUGGAGAUCAGUGAUCAGGAUGUUUCUCUGGAUGCUCUGCUCAAUAAGGUGGACACGAUGGACGGCAAGAUCAGCUCCACCAACAGGCAACUCAAAAACCUCAAAUAGACUUAGUGUGAUGUCAUCUCCUAAAGGGCGUGGCCAAGGUACUUUCUGGAAUAAUUUAUAUUAGAAACAACUGACCAUAAAACACAACACUUGAACAAGGAAAAAGUGUGAGUCUGUGUUCAUGUAUAGAUAUCACAGAAUAGGUUAGGGCUGGUGUUGUGCCGAAAUUUGACUCCCUAGUAUCCUUAUGUUUAGGGGUGGGCUUUGGGGAUUGGGACCAAUGACUCCCUACUAUGGUUAAGGUUAGGGGUGAAUGUAGGGAUAGGCUUUAGGGAUAAGAACCAAUCAGGUAGCGGGGAGUCAAAAUCUGGUGGGGAGUCAAAUUUUGGCACAACACCAGCCCAGUCUCUGUUGGUGCCCUAGGCGAGAUUUCAGACUGGUGCCCCAACCCCCCGCCCCCUUUUUCACUUGAACUCCAAUUUACUGCAAAGCUUCUUUUUCCUUCUUCAAUUUUAUAUAAUAUGAGCUAAAAAUUAUUUCUAAUGAAUAACAAAUAACAAAUUUGACCAAUAAAAAACAACCUGUUCCAAAUUACCUUCUGAUUAUUACAAAAAAAAAAAAAAAACAGGAUUAGGGUAAGGGUUGGGUAUAAUUUAAUUACAUAAUUAAAUACAAUUUGCUUGUUUGGAUUUAAUAAUUAAAUUAUAACAAAAAAAUAAAUAAAGGAAAUGUGGUUUCAAAACGGCACAUGCCUGGACUUCUCUGUGGCAAAGUCAUCAGUGUCAUUUAUUUCAUAUAUUUAAUGAAUAGUUCCAUUAAUACUCUUAAUUAUGGCCAUAAAAUAAAAACAGAAAAGAUCAGAUGCCAUUGAAAAUCAUUUUUAUGCUACACUUCACACUUUCCAGUCCUCCUGCGGUGCCCAGAUACUUCCUUAAAGAUCACAUUUGAAUGACAAAUGCUCCUUUGGCG
Long non-coding RNA from Myxocyprinus asiaticus (Chinese sucker), 1247 nucleotides. RefSeq lists it as uncharacterized. The record is from RefSeq and is a predicted model, not a curated record. The transcript is spliced from 3 exons. Lineage: Eukaryota; Metazoa; Chordata; Actinopteri; Cypriniformes; Catostomidae.